Molecule: ribosomal RNA, 357 nt
Filed under: Rhipicephalus turanicus
Lineage: Eukaryota; Metazoa; Arthropoda; Arachnida; Ixodida; Ixodidae
Description: partial 16S ribosomal RNA
Source: RNAcentral
AUAAGAUUUUAAUUGAAUGCUAAGAGAAUGGAAUUUCAGAAAAAAACUUUUUUCAAGUUAAAAAUUGAAAUUUUUUUAAUUUGUGUAGAAACAAUUAUUAAUAUUAAGGACAAGAAGACCCUAUGAAUUUAUAAAUUUUAUUUAAUAUGUAACUACUAUUAAAAAAAUUUUAGCUGGGGCGGCGGAAAAAUAUUUAAAACUUUUUUAAAAUAAAAUGAUCCAUUAUUAAUGAUUAUAUGUUAAAUACUCUAGGGAUAACAGCGUUAUAUUUUUUGAUAGAUCAUAUUGACAAAAAAGUUUGCGACCUCGAUGUUGGAUUAGGAUACUUUUUUAAUGCAGAUAUUAAAAAAAGAAGUU